AAUGAACGUUGGCGGCGUGGAUUAGGCAUGCAAGUCGAGCGAGAACCCCGCAAGGGGGGACAGCGGCGAAAGGGACAGUAAUGUGUAGAUUAUCUGCCCUCAGGUCCGGGAUAGCUGCGGGAAACUGCAGGUAAUACCGGAUAACAUCUCCGGAUCAAAGGUGUGAUUCCGCCUGAGGAUGAGUCUGCAUCCUAUUAGCUAGUUGGUGGGGUAAUGGCCUACCAAGGCAUUGAUGGGUAGCAGGUGUGAGAGCACGACCUGCGUCAUUGGGAAUGAGACACUGCCCAGACACCUACGGGUGGCUGCAGUCGAGACUCGUCGGCAAUGGGCGCAAGCCUGAACGAGCGACGCCGCGUGUGGGAUGAAGGCCUUCGGGUUGUAAACCACUGUCAGAGGGGAUGAAAUGCAGGUGGGUUCUCCCAUCUGUUUGACAUAGCCUCAGAGGAAGGACGGGCUAAGUUCGUG
RNAcentral lists this ribosomal RNA (465 nucleotides) under uncultured bacterium. Its description in RNAcentral is "partial 16S ribosomal RNA". It matches the Rfam family "Bacterial small subunit ribosomal RNA", at positions 29 to 507 of the family's 1533-position model. The record is from RNAcentral.